Molecule: transfer RNA, 72 nt
Filed under: Vicugna pacos (alpaca)
Lineage: Eukaryota; Metazoa; Chordata; Mammalia; Artiodactyla; Camelidae
Description: tRNA-Ala (AGC) (tRNA-Ala-AGC-72-1)
Rfam family: tRNA
About the family: Transfer RNA (tRNA) molecules are approximately 80 nucleotides in length. Their secondary structure includes four short double-helical elements and three loops (D, anti-codon, and T loops). Further hydrogen bonds mediate the characteristic L-shaped molecular structure. tRNAs have two regions of fundamental functional importance: the anti-codon, which is responsible for specific mRNA codon recognition, and the 3' end, to which the tRNAs corresponding amino acid is attached (by aminoacyl-tRNA synthetases). tRNAs cope with the degeneracy of the genetic code in two manners: having more than one tRNA (with a specific anti-codon) for a particular amino acid; and 'wobble' base-pairing, i.e. permitting non-standard base-pairing at the 3rd anti-codon position.
Source: Rfam by way of RNAcentral
GGGGGUAUAGCUCAGUGGUAGAGCAUGUGCUUAGCAUGCACAAGGUCCUGGGUUCAAUCCCCAGUCCCUCCA